This 214-nucleotide unclassified non-coding RNA is filed under the name Glomeraceae sp. Its description in RNAcentral is "partial contains 5.8S ribosomal RNA and internal transcribed spacer 2". The stretch from base 1 to 71 matches the Rfam family "5.8S ribosomal RNA", at positions 84 to 154 of the family's 154-position model. Lineage: Eukaryota; Fungi; Glomeromycota; Glomeromycetes; Glomerales; Glomeraceae. The record is from RNAcentral.
GUGAAUCAUCAAAUCUUUGAACGCAAAUUGCACUCUCUGGCAUUCCGGUGAGUAUGUCUGUUUGAGGGUCGGAAUAAAUAAAAAUCGUGGUGUUGCUCUUUUGUGACCCAUCGGAAUUGGGCCAUCUUUGACCUUUUAAAAGGUUUAAGCGUCAUAAAAUUGUUACCUUGUGCGUCUCAGACGUACAUAAGAAUAUUUUUUUAUCUGUCCGGAU